UUAACUUGAAUCAUUAAACACCUUUCAGGAAAGUACCAUGAAUUCUCUGGGUUGGGAGAAAUUUGUGACAUGGAAAUGAAAUCAUAUUGUUUUGGAGGUGAAAGUUAUCUUUGAGGUCAUCUGGUCCAGUUUCCUAAUUUUACAGAUGAAGAAGAUUAAGAUCUAUCAUGGUUAAGCGAUUAGUCUGUGCUCAUACAGCUAGUUAGUAUUAUAGACAAGAACAAAAUUGAGUUUACUGACUCUGGGUCCAGUGUACUUUCCACUGAUCACAGGAAAUAAUUGAGUUUACUCUGUUUACACUUGCAUUUCAUUGAAUAUCUUUACGGACCAUGAUAAUCAGAUUAUAUCAGACUAUGAUACAUCCAUUUGCACCAUGGAUCUUCUGCUUGUAUAUUUCAUCAGUCUCAGGCCAGUUGGUAGGUGAAAUUGACAUUCAUUUUUCUACAAGCCAAGAAAGGAGUUCUACAUUUCUGUUAAGGGGUUAGGAAGAAAGAGAGAAGGAAUUAAAAGGCAAGGAUUACAAGAUUAAUCUAAAAAAGGUCUCAAUAGAAACUUAUUGAGGAAUGAAGAAUUAAUUUAGUAGUCAAAUAAUGUUAUUUAAGGGAUAGAAAAUCAUGGUUUUAUGUGUACUUUGGUUCAAAUCUUAUUUGGCUUGAGAAAAAGACUUUCCUGGGACUAUUAACCUAAAAUUCUUUACUGUAGAAUAAAGUCUGUUAAUGUAGGUCAUUUUACCUUUCAGGCUGCUUUGCCUUGGCUAAAAUAAAUAUUCAGCUAUAAAUGGCAUUUUGGUUCAAGUUGUAUUAUUACAGGAAAAGUUGCAUUUUUAAAAUUGUUCAGUGAAUUUAUUUAAUCUGUCAUUCUAACAUAUUGCUGUUUUCUUAAGUAGAAAGCAGAGUUCCUAUGGUGAGAGCAGAGGUGCCAUAAUAUUUAUAGUAUGUUAGACUCGUUUAUAAACUAUUAUACUAGCUAGAAUUUGCAGAAUAUUUAAUCUUGUAGGUUACAAUUUUUUUCCUCUGGCUUUUAAUAUAUUCAUUUAGCCAUUUUGAUUUUCUUUAUUCUUUGAAGAAGAACUCAGAGAAUGCUAUUUUUUUUUCUAGAAGAUUAGUAAUAACUACUGUUAUAGGAUUCUUUUUUUUUUUUUUUUUCCGAACAGAAGAAUGCAUGUGCCUUACUGUCUUAUCUGGAGGUAAUUUUUUGAAAAACCAAUUAACACAUCAAGUUUUUAAUGGAACAUAAAACUUAAACCGCUCAAAACUGAGAGAGGCAAAGAUUGGUGACGCAGCGUUAGUUUCUCCUGGAAGAGUUAAUAUAUCCAGGCAAACUUUAGUAAACACAUUGGUGUUGAGAUUUCUGUACUGUGUCAGAGGAGGUGAGGGAGAAGAGGGAUGAUCAGUAGAAGAUUAUGGUUUCUUGAACUGGGGACAGUCACUUUUUAUAAAUCACAUAUCAUGGUCUGGAGUUUCGAAGCUGGAAAGGAGGAGUGAAGAUUAUGGGCUCUGGAUACCCCACAGGUUGGGUGGUGAGGAUAGGCUCCUUUGGUAGACAUUAUAGAGAGCUCCAUUUGAGGAAAGGAAUUUCAGAAUAGCUUCUAGAAUUUGAGAGAAUCGCAGCUGUCUUUUCCCGUGGCUUCAUUUGUUAGAAAUUGUCGUAAAGAAGCCCAAUUUCUGUUGUUGACAGUAUGGAGUCUUGGUGUUUUGGACAUCCUCCAUUCUGGGAAAUAAGUCCCAAACCAGCCCUACUCCAUAAUAUCCCAGCAUAUUCCAGUGAGCAGUAUACUACUUGUCAGGAGAACUGGGUUCUGCCUGUGACACUUAACAACUUUGUAUCCUGGCCUAGGGCCUGCAUUGUGUCACCUGUACGGUAGGGGAGGCACUAACCAGCCCAGAAUAGAUUUAAGCUGAUUCUUUCUGACCAGAUCUUGAGGUUUGGAGCCUGGCCUGGUGCAGCCUGGAGCUCAUUUCCAUCCGCAGGGACCUUUGAGAAGGGAGGGGCAGAGGCCUGAUGGAGCCCAGUCUUUUCUGUUCCAGGCUUCCCUGUCAUCUUCCAUAUUAUCAGGCUAGGGCAUCUUGCCCUAGAGCCUCCUGAGGAUUCACUGUCUGCUUGUUUAUCUUUCAGUGAGGAUCUUAGCAGAUCUUGAGUCAUUUUUGAGUUUUUAAUGAUGACAUUAGCAGACAAAAAUGCAGUGUUAUUACAGUUUUUUAAGUUCUUACGCUUCAGUGUUCAGUAGAUCCCCAGUUAUUAUCUGUCGUUCAUUUACUCAACAAACACUGAAGGAUAAACAUUUGAUUAAGACACAGACCUUGUCUUUAAGAAGGGUGUUAGAGGGAAGGAGGAGCAUAGAUGAGACCCGGGGAGCUUUGGGGUUGGUGUUCCCCUUUGGGAGUCCUCUGCCUCUUGGCUCUCUGGCUUCCUGCAAGGAAGAAGGAAGGCUGUGACUAGUGCAGAUCAAAUUUGCAGGAAGGUCUGAGACUCAAGUCAGCUUUUAGGGAAGUAGAAAUAUACCAGGACCUCCACAUCUGUUACUCUGCUUCCGUGACACCCAGGAAACUUGAAGCUUGAUGUACAUGCUCGUGGCAGCAUGGUGGUAGACUGUUUCCUCAUGAAGCUGUUGGGUGAGGGUGGAGGAAACUCACAUCAGUGAUAAUGGUGCAGUGGGAAUCGUGGGUUAGGGCUCAAAGGAGUGGGCUAGAGAGGUGGGAGGGAAGGCUUUUUGUUUUUCUGGUAAUGCAGCUGUUAACCUUACAGAGAGUCCUAAAAUUAAGAUUUUUUAGCUAUAUACAUGUGAUUUACUUUGAGGCUAACUAGGGAAAAUAGGGCAUUUAUGAGAUUAAUUUCUUUGGGCAGCUAGAAUGUGUCUCCUAGGUGCAAAGACCCCAAACAUGCAGGGAUUUGGAUCUUGAUUAUGUCCUUACUUAACCCCACAAAUAGUGUGAAGUUUAAUAACAGUAUCAUAUUAGUAUUUUAAACUUAUAUUAAAUAAUAUGGUAGUAUAUUACAGUAGUUUGUUUUCAACUAUCUAGUUGAUAGUGCAAGAACUGUAAAGCCUCUCUUUUCUUCAGAACUGAAAAUGAAACUAAUUUUUGUGAAGCUCCAGAUUAAAAAUAAUCUGAGUUGAUUUUAAGAACUGUGCAUGAAAAGAAAAUUAAGUUUUUUAUGCAAAAUCGUUAGGAUCUUUAGGCUCCAUGGAACACAGAUUUGCAUGGCGCUGUUACCUGGGUUUUUACUGAUUGUAAAAGAUACUGAGUACUUAACAUGGGGGUUUUUGGAAGCAAGGUGACAUCCUGCUCAUUGCAGUUAGGCUAAUGAUAGCAUAAAUAGUAAGGUACCGGUCACUAUUUCAAGUGCAAAGAAACAUCUGUUCAUAAAGUACUAAAAAUGGUUCUUAUAUGAAGGUGCAUGCAUUUGGUUUAGGGUUGGUUUUUGUUUGGUUUUAUCUUAAUUAAUUACUUUGCUUCCUGCCAUUAAGGAUAUGUGUGGAUCAUGUUAAUAAUACCCUGGGAAAAGAAAUGAGCAAGUAUUUGAUUGACAGAUAAAUAUGGAUGCACAGGUAUAUUGUAGAUGCUUCCACAUCUGUGUUUCCACGUAUAUCUGAAUAGAUAGAUUUUUAAUCUCACAUAUGCACCAAAUUAGUUGAGCACGUUUGUUGAGUCCUUACAUGUGCCAACCACUGUCCUCAGUGAUUUGCAGAACCAGGAUGAGUAAGGCAGAUCCUAUCCUAAGGUGUUGACACACUAAUAGGGGAGAGAAGAUUGCAAAAUAAGCUUUAUGCACAUUUAAAUAGAAGAUUGUAUCAUUGGAGAGUUAUAAGUAAAGCCUUAAAGAGUCCUCAGGAAGGCGAGUACUCCUAGUCUAGGGAAUCAGAAAAAGCUUAAUGAAGGAGAUGGCAUUUUGAGCUGAAAGUAGACUUGAAUUGUUGUAGAUAGAGGGUCCUGCACAGGUGAAGGCUCCUGGAGAGGAAAUCAUGGGCUGUACCUGGGGAGCAGUGAGUAGUUAAGACUGGUGAAGUGUAGAGAGAGUUAGGGAUAUAUGGAUCUGGGUUACGUGGGACAGUGUGGAGAAGGUGGACAAGGGCCAGGUCAUGGAGUAUUGACUUUAUUCUUUGUUUUGGGUUUUUGACCUGGAAGAUGCCCUGAUUAGAGUUUUGCUGCAGGAAUAUGGUGACUGUGUAGUUGGAGCGUAGAGGCUGGGACAUGGAUGGGCAUGGGAGCAGAGUGCUGUGGUCUUAGAUAUUAGGAGACUUUUGCCAUAAUUUAGACAGGAAGUAAUGAGGAGGGCAUAAAGUAAAAAGGUGAUGUGUAAAAGAAAUAUUUUGGGAUAAACUGGGUGGGUAUUUGGACCUGAUUAGAUUAGGUUAUUUAUUUAUUCAAUAAAUAUUUACCAAUAAUCUUCUUCUGCCCCACACUAAGGUGAGCUUAGUGUUCCCUGGCUGGGUGAGAUUGAGAAGCUGGAGGUAUUAAAUAUAGCUUUAGGUUUCAGCCCUGGGAGACCAGGAAAGUGGUGAUGCAGAAAUCUGAGAACACCCUCCUUUUUACGUGGGCCUUGAGGGGAGUGUAAAUUUAUCUGGUCUCCUGCUUUCAGAUAAACCAUUGCAGACAGAUGAGAAUCUCAUCUCGCAUUAUAAACUACCACCAGAGAAAAGGAUUAGCAGUGAGCUGUUAGUGGCCUUCAUUUUUUAGAGUGUUUAGGGUAGAGCAGACAGCUUUAAAAACCAUCUAUCUAGCUAGUCCUCUUUAAAAUACUCCGUCAUGAUCAGUGUGUGUUUAACCGUGGGGCCCCAACCAGCUGCCUUCUCUGCUAUGGUCUGCAAGCCUGACAUUCUGACUUCCUAUCAGUUUUUUGGAACGAACUUUCCUGUCUCCCCUUUUCAGGGAAAAAUUAAAGAAGCCUUUAAAAAUGGUAGGAUCAUAAUUAUUUAGAGUCAAGAUAGUCAGGUAAUUAAUUUUACCACUCUUUUUGUGCAGAGUUCUAAAGUUUACUGGUUUUAGGUAAGAGAAAAUGUGGCUGCUUUCUACAAGAGGGCCCCAAUUCAGUUUUGGAGCCUUGACCAAGAGAUUUGUGAAGGUCAGAAGGAAGCCCAUUGGUGAAGGCAUAUGAUAAAAGAAAAAGGAGGAGGAUACAAGGAGAAUUUACUCUAAAUGGAAGAAGAUCUGCAGGUCUCAGUGGGGGGCUUCAGAAUAGAGAAACACAGUAGGAAGCAAAAACGUGAAGGUGUUGAACCUCCGUUUCUUACUGUAAGGUAGUGCAGCUCAACGUGAUACCCACAGACAGGGAUUUGCCUGUGAAUCGUUUAUAGCUGACCUGUGAUGAACUAUAUACAGAGGAGAAUAAGGGUGUAGAAACUUUAACAAUUUGACAGGCCAACUUUAAGUCUAUUCAAUCUAAUAAAAAAUUGGGACUUUUAUUUUGUGUAUCUUUUUUUUUUUCCUUUUUUAAAAUUUCACUUAGUAGUUACUAUUAUUCUUUUGCAUUUUAUAAAAGUAUUGGUCCCAGAUAGGUUGGGGAAGGAAGGGCACCUUCACUGCGGGGAGUUUGAGAAGGCAUGUUGUAGGUUGUGGAGAUGGUAGUUGGGGAGGUUUUACUCCAAGUGCUUGGUUUGGGCAGUGGGAACGAUGCGUGCACAGACCAGGAGCAGGUGGGAUCUCAUCUUAGUGCCUGAAGAAAAGGGGCAUGACUGAGACAGAGUCUUGUGACUCUGGGGAGUUGUGGGUUGGAGGAUGGUGUUUGGACACAGGGUGCCCACACUCGAGUGAGGCCCAGUCCCAGUGUUUAGUAGGAAUGUGCAUAUCGCCCUGCUGGGGACUUUGAGGCUGGUUAGGGGCUUCCUGCAGCCUGAGUAGGGGCUGUGGGACCAUCACCAGUAGUGUCGUCUUUGGCUCACAGGACACGAAUAGGGUUAUGUCAUCUUCUGUGCUCUUAGCUUGCUUUUCAUCCUUUAUUGGUCUCUGUUCUUUCCCACCUCGACUCUGCCUAGACAGACGUAUUGCACAAACCUUAAUGUUGAUUUUUCCCUGUUUACUGAACCUUUCUUUAAAAUUCUUCUAACAUGUGGGCAUCUGGGUGGUUCAGUCAGUUAAGCAUCGGACUUCAGCUCAGGUCGUGAUCUCAUAGUUUGUGGGUUCGAGCCCUGUGUCAGGCUCUGUGCUGACAGCUCAGAGCCUGGAGCUGCUUCAGAUUCUGUGUCUCCUUCUCUCUGCCCCUCCCCCAUUCACACUCUGCUCUCUUUCAGUAAAAUAAACAUUAAAAAAAAAAUUAAAAUUCUUCUAACAUGAAGAGUGAUUCCUUCUGUUGAUAUUUUUCCUGGACCACUUGUAUUCAAAGCCAUGCACCUUUCCAUAGGCCUAUUCUUAACAGUGAAACUUAUCUGACAGUGGCUGUUUUUCCUUUCCUGUGAAAGGUGGUGUCAUGAUGAAUGCCCUACACAUAUUAACACCAGCAAAGCAAAUUCUGGGAUCCUGGGAUGGCAAUUUUAUAAUUUUUUCUAUCUUUUCCGCUUUGCUGGAAGCGACAGGAUAUUAAACCACCAAACUGGCGUGGUCCUCGGCUGCCUGCCAAUGGAAUAUUUGGGGAAAGAAUGGACCAGCUUUUGUUUCUCUUGCCUUCUGUGUAGCCUUGGGGUGGAUUCUGAGGGGAUGUUCCCCCCCGCCCCCCCCAGAACUAACCCAUUUGGUAUUGAGAAAGCAGGAAAGCGAGUUUUCCUGUUACGAGCAGUGAACAAAAAGCAAGCAGCGGAUGGAGAUAUCCUGUUGGAGAAGGCUUGGGGGAGAGAAUGCAGACAAAUGCACCUCAUUCUUUCUGCGUCUUUAAGGAAUCUGAGGGGAUGGGAAGGAAAUCAGUCACUGCGGGCCAAGUCAAAUGCUUUUCUUUUUAUUUAUGGUGCUUAAUAAGAUGGUUAUAAGUUUAUGCUUUGUGAUUUAAAAACUUGUCAGACACAGAGAUCUAUAGCACAUGACAGAUUAGAAAAAUGAAACAAUUAUUCUGUUUCUCAUGAGGUCAUUCGAAGUUUGCCUGUAAGGGGUCAAUGAACUGAAACUCUAUCCAAGUUAUAUUUAUUUUUAGGUUUAAAAAUCACAUAAAAAAGGCAAAUUCUUAGGGCAAGUGGGUGGCUCAGUCGAUUGAGUGUCCAACUCUUGAUGUUGGUUUAGGUCAUAAACAUAGGGCUGUGGGAUCGAGCCCUGUGUUGGGCUCCAUGUUGAACGUUGAGCGUGCUUAGGAUACUCUCUCUCUCUCUCUCUUUCUUUCUCUGUCUCCCCCCAUCCCCCUCUUUCCCUCACUCAUGUGCUCUCUCUCUCUCUCUCUCUCUCUCUCAAAACAAAACAAAAAACUCUAAUUCUUCCAAAUUAGAUUUAUAGGAUGGUUUGUCAUAACCUCCUAGGGAAUCAUUUGUUGGUUCUUUUUAAAAAGAACUAACUUUUGCCUCUCUUAUUACAGGAGCAGUUCAUGUUUAUUAUAGGAAAAUUAGAAAACACCUAUGGGCAACUGAAUGGUACAGGAAUGGGCUGGAAAGACUUAGACGUGGAAAAUUAGAGCAGUGUGGCGAAGGAGAGAAAACCAGGGUUUUCUGGCAGCUGUGGGAGUGGAGACAGGGUCAGGGAAGAUCCUCUUGAAAACUCUCCAUGGAAGCUGUCUUGCCUGCAUGCCACAUGUUCACUGGUAACUUUUUACCUUUGAGGUUGGCCUUCCAUUCUGCCAUGGGUUUUAGACCUGAUGAUUUCCAAGUUUGUUUGGAGCUAGAAAACUGUGUAGUGGUCAGUUGAGAAGCUGGUCAACUCAGGGUAUUUCAUAUCUUGUCAGUCAAGGAGAAGGAGUGCUGGGCAAGAAGGAAGUCUGAAGAUAGAUUUAUAUUAGUGAGUGAGUGGUGUGUGUGUGUGUGUGUGUGCGUGUGUGUGUGUGUGUGUGUUUGCGUGUGUGAGGGAGGGAGAGAGGAUAUCUUUGAGAGACUUGGUUGUAAGAGAGAUAAAGAAAAUAUAAAAGAGAAGAUACAGGAGGAUACAACAAUUUUUUUGAGGGGAAAAGAGGAAAUGUACAUUGGCUUCUGCCCUUUUGCAUUAUCUUCUUGACCUUCCCAUUCCCUCCAUGUUUUGCCAUAUUGACAAAUGCUUAGGUGUUUUGUGGGAUGACACUUCUCCCUUUUUCUCAGUAAACAUUUACAGAGCAGCUAUCAGUAGGUCAUACUUUCAGUCCAUUUUAGUUUAUAAAGAUAGUGUGAGAAAUCCUUAUAAGGCAUAGGAUUAAAUUGUCUUGAGAAAUCCUUAUAAGGCAUGGGAUUAAAUUGCUUUGAGAAAUCUUUAUAAGGCAUGGGAUUAAAUUGUCUUGGGCUGGGGUGCCUGGGUGGCUCAGUCAGUUAAGUAGCUGACUUGAUUUUUGCUCAGGUCAUGGUCUCAUGGUCUCAUGGUUCAUGGGAUCGAGCUGUAUGUAGGGCUCUGUGCUGACAGGAUGGAGUCUGCUUGGUGUUCUCUCUCUGUCUCAAAAUAAAUAAACAUUUAAACAGAUAAAUUGUCUUGGGCUUUUUUUUUUUUAAUCUGUGGAAACAUGUUUAAUAUCAAAUCUACUAGCUAUUUUAUUAUAGGUAAGGCAGGAUUAACAUGUAAAUGGAAGGUGUAGAAGCUUGGACUAGAUAACACGUUGCUUUUGGUAGGUUCUGUAAUAAAUAGACAUUGACUACUGUUACAUAGUAGCCACUGGGCUAGAAGCUGGGAAAGAAUUAUAAAUUGGACAGAUAUGGUGCUUGAUCUCACAGACCUUCCCUGAUCAGGAGAUUAACAGGUAAUCCGUUCCAACAUAGUGGGAUAGGAAUUCUGAAAAGAAACAUGUGGGAUGUUCUGUGAUGACAUAGGAAAGAUGCCUGUUCUGGACUAGAAGGAGUGACUAGGCUGAGACCUGAAUGAUAAGAAGAAAUGGGCCAGAUAAAGGGAGAUAUUUUAUUCUAACCUUAGGGAACAGUGUGUGCAAAGGCCUGGAGGCAAGAAAAAGCAUGGAA
Molecule: long non-coding RNA, 8977 nt
Organism: Acinonyx jubatus (cheetah)
Lineage: Eukaryota; Metazoa; Chordata; Mammalia; Carnivora; Felidae
Exons: 2
Source: RefSeq, a predicted model, not a curated record